RNAcentral lists this ribosomal RNA (301 nucleotides) under uncultured bacterium. RNAcentral describes it as "partial 16S ribosomal RNA". It matches the Rfam family "Bacterial small subunit ribosomal RNA", at positions 509 to 807 of the family's 1533-position model. The record is from RNAcentral.
CAGUCGCCACGGUAAUACGUAGGGUGCAAGCGUUAAUCGGAAUUACUGGGCGUAAAGCGUGCGCAGGCGGUUUGUUAAGGCAGAUGUGAAAUCCCCGGGCUCAACCUGGGAACUGCAUUUGUGACUGGCAGGCUAGAGUAUGGCAGAGGGGGGUGGAAUUCCGCGUGUAGCAGUGAAAUGCGUAGAUAUGCGGAGGAACACCGAUGGCGAAGGCAGCCCCCUGGGCCAAUACUGACGCUCAUGCACGAAAGCGUGGGGAGCAAACAGGAUUAGAUACCCCCGUAGUCCCUGUCUCUUAUAC